RNAcentral lists this ribosomal RNA (465 nucleotides) under uncultured bacterium. RNAcentral describes it as "partial 16S ribosomal RNA". It matches the Rfam family "Bacterial small subunit ribosomal RNA", at positions 339 to 795 of the family's 1533-position model. The record is from RNAcentral.
CUACGGGCGGCUCCAGUGGGGAAUAUUGGACAAUGGGGGAAACCCUGAUCCAGCAAUGCCGCGUGUGUGAAGAAGGCCUGCGGGUUGUAAAGCACUUUCGGUUGGGAGGACUGCUUCUAGCACUAAUAUUGUUGGAAGUUGACGUUACCUUCAGAAGAAGCACCGGCUAACUCCGUGCCAGCAGCCGCGGGAAUACGGAGGGUGCAAGCGUGAAUCGGAAUUACUGGGCGUAAAGCGCGCGGAGGCGGCUAGAUCAGUCGGGUGUGAAAGCCCCGGGCUUAACCUGGGAACUGCAUCCGAUACUGUCUAGCUUGAGUACAGGAGAGGAGAGUGGAAUUCCACAUGUAGCGGUGAAAUGCGUAGAUAUGUGGAGGAACACCAAUGGCGAAGGCAGCUCUCUGGCCUGAUACUGACGCUGAGGUGCGAAAGCGUGGGGAGCAAACAGGAUUAGAUACCCCUGUAGUC